This 468-nucleotide ribosomal RNA is filed under the name uncultured bacterium. Its description in RNAcentral is "partial 16S ribosomal RNA". It matches the Rfam family "Bacterial small subunit ribosomal RNA", at positions 28 to 507 of the family's 1533-position model. The record is from RNAcentral.
GACGAACGCUGGCGGCGUGCUUAACACAUGCAAGUCGAACGGAGAAGCCCUUCUUUUGUUGGGUGCUCGGGUGGCGAACGGGUGAGGAACAUGUGAGUAACCUACCCUUGCCUUUUGUAUUGCUUAAGGGCACUGGGGCUUAUACCAGAUAGGAUCUCCUGCUUCAGUGUGGUGGUUGGACAGGUUCGGCGGUUGGGGAUGGGCUCGCGGCUGUUCAGCUUGUUGGUGGGGUAGUGGCUGACCACGGCUUUGACGGGUGGCCGGCCUGAGAGGGUGUGCGGCCACAUUGGGACUGAGAUACGGCCCAGACUCCUACAGGAGGCAGCAGUGGGGAAUAUUGUACAAUGGGCGGAAGCCUGAUGCAGCAACGCCGCGUGCGGGAUGACGGCCUUCGGGUUGUAAACCGCUUUCGCCUGUGACGAAGCGUGAGUGACGGUAGUGGGUAAAGAAGCACCGGCUAACUACGUG